AGCUCCAAUAGCGUAUAUUAAAGUUGUUGCAGUUAAAAAGCUCGUAGUUGGAUUUCUGGUAGAAUAUUCGAUCCCUCUGAUGAGUGCGAUCGAAAGUUUUACCAUCCUUCUGUUAACCUUGGAGGCUUUUACGGUCUCCCUGGGGCUCAGAUAUUUUACCUUGAGAAAAUUAGAGUGUUUCAGGCAGGCUAGCGCCGGAAUACAUUAGCAUGGAAUAAUAGAAUAGGACUUUUGCCUCUUCUGUUGGUCAUGGGGUUUAAGUAAUGAUUAAUAGGGAUAGUUGGGGGCAUUAGUACUUCACUGUCAGAGGUGAAAUUCUCGGAUUUGUGAAAGACUAACUUAUGCGAAAGCAUUUGCCAAGGAUGUUUUCA
RNAcentral lists this ribosomal RNA (371 nucleotides) under uncultured eukaryote. RNAcentral's name for it is "SSU rRNA". It matches the Rfam family "Eukaryotic small subunit ribosomal RNA", at positions 587 to 972 of the family's 1831-position model. The record is from RNAcentral.